CAGAAUAUGUGAUGAUCAUUCCUACUUGAACUCUCUCACUGAUUAUACUGAUGACAACAACAAGAUCUGAUAUUCUG
RNAcentral lists this small nucleolar RNA (77 nucleotides) under Procavia capensis (Cape rock hyrax). Its description in RNAcentral is "Small nucleolar RNA SNORD81 (ENSPCAG00000019773.1)". It matches the Rfam family "Small nucleolar RNA SNORD81". From Rfam's summary of the family: U81 is a member of the C/D class of snoRNA which contain the C (UGAUGA) and D (CUGA) box motifs. U81 acts as a guanine methylation guide and is found in intron 11 of the gas5 gene in mammals. Lineage: Eukaryota; Metazoa; Chordata; Mammalia; Hyracoidea; Procaviidae. The record is from RNAcentral.